GGCGAACGCUGGCGGCGUGCCUAAUACAUGCAAGUAGAACGCUGAAGGAUGAUCUUGCUUCUCUGGGUGAGUUGCGAACGGGUGAGUAACGCGUAGGUAACCUGCCUGGUAGUGGGGGAUAACUCUUGUAAACGAUAGCUAAUAGCGCAUAAUAGUAGAUGUUGCAUGACAUUUGCUUAAAAGUUGCAAUUGCGUCACUACGAGAUGGGCCUGCGUUGUAUUUGCUCGUUGGUGGGGUAACGGCUCACCAAGGCCACGAUACAUAUCCGACCUGAGAGGGUGAUCGGUCACACUGGCAAUGAGACAAGCCCCAAAACCGUGCGGGAGGCAGCAGCCGGGAACCUACGGGAAUGGACGGAAGGCAAACCGAGGCAAGCCGCGAGAGUGAAGAAGGUCUUCGGAUCGUAAAGGUAUGUUGUAAGCGAAGAAUGAGCGUCAGAGUGGAAAGUACACACUGUGACGGUAUCUUACCAGAAAGGGACGGCUAACUCCGUG
RNAcentral lists this ribosomal RNA (495 nucleotides) under uncultured bacterium. RNAcentral's name for it is "partial 16S ribosomal RNA". It matches the Rfam family "Bacterial small subunit ribosomal RNA", at positions 28 to 507 of the family's 1533-position model. The record is from RNAcentral.